RNAcentral lists this long non-coding RNA (2086 nucleotides) under Triticum aestivum (bread wheat). RNAcentral's name for it is "long non-coding RNA (TAES_LNC004701)". The stretch from base 1359 to 1484 matches the Rfam family "MIR1120/MIR1122 microRNA precursor family". The record is from RNAcentral. Lineage: Eukaryota; Viridiplantae; Streptophyta; Magnoliopsida; Poales; Poaceae.
AACUAGCAUAUCGAUUUUUACUGAGCAGCCAUUCUCGGAUGCAGUUAACCAAGAUAUGAAACAGACAAAUUCAGAGAGGUUGGUAUGGACUACGGAGGAUUGCCACAAAACAAAUAAAACUAAUGUACAAUUUUACUUCAAAAGUAACGGCAACAUAUCAGGUUACUAAGAUAACCAAAACUCAGUAGACCACUGAACACAAACACAUGGUGGCUAAUUGGCCAUGGCUGCACUUGGCCGAUGUACAUGCCACCAUGCUCCUCAAAACACACACACGCAGACUCUGCUACAAUUUCUAAAUCCAAGGUCCCCAGACAGUAUCACGGCUAGCAGUAACACCAUAUUACAGUCCUUGAUCAAAAGCCGAAGAAACCAAGCUCGGUCGCCCUUUCCUUCUCGAACGUCUCGAAGUAUUGGUAUAUGAUGGUGACAGCGAGCAGUAUACCGGUUCCUGAACCAAUUGCACCCAUGAAAUCAGCCAGGACAGUCAGCGCGCCAAUGCACACUCCUCCAAAUGCAGCAGCAGUGGGGAUGUAUCUGUUCAACUCCCUCUCCAAGUUUGACUCGCGAUGGCCUGGCAUCACCAUUUGUUGUUCCUGUUCAGUUGCCAAAGUUAGAAGAUUUCGGGUAGCUCUUGCGUAGUGACUAUUCAUGUGCAAAACCAACUAUAAGCAGUAGAUCAGUGCACAUAACAGUUUUAGUUAACUAAGACUCUAGCUACAAAUGGUACUCCCUCCGAUCCAUAUUACUAAACGAUCCAUAUUACUUUAGUGAUCUAUAAACGUUCUUAUAUUUCUUUGAGGAGGAAGUACUUGUCUUAGAUUGGUCUAGAUACGGAUGUAUCUAACACUAGUAAUAUGGAUCGGAGGGAGUAGAUAAUAUAUACUCCCUCCAUUCCUAAAUAUUUGUCUUUCCACAGAUUUCAACAAGUGACUACAUACGGAGCAAAAUGAGUGAAUCUACACUCUAAAAUAUGUCUUAUAUACAUCCGUAUGUGGUAGUCCAUUUGAAAUAUCUAAAAAGACAAAUAUUUAGGAACGGAGGGAGUAGAUGCCCCUAGCAUAUGACUGAAGCUUCUAAGCUCAGAAGGCAAAUAACAAUGGUAACAGAUAUUGUACCAAAAUACUAGAUACACAAACUAAUGGCAUUGUAAGCUAAUGUUCCUCAGAAAUAUUCUUGCAAACAAAGUCCCUUGAAGACUAAUGGUAGUGGUGCAGCGAUCUAUCUAAAAAAUCAGCUGUAGAUUCUUCAUUUGCUGUACUUCAAAUGUAUCGUAUGAUAAAGCUAGAUGGUGCUCCUACCAAACAACAUGUUACUGUUCAGACUUCAGAACAAUACAGUGUAAUACAGUACCAUAUAUGAUACUCCCUCUGUCCGAAAAAGCUUGUCCCAAUCUUGUCUCUCAAAUAGAUGUAUCUAUCACUAAUUUGAUGCUAGAUACAUCAAUUUGAGGGACAAGUUUUUUUGGACGUAGGGAGUAAUAUUUGCUGACACAAUCUUACAAAAACAAUAAAUGACAGAUACAGAUCCUGCAUCAUAGAGGACUAAAAGCCAGCCUUGUGUAUGUAAUUUCUUGUGGCAUCCUAUGGCACAAUGGCAUCAAUCAGUGACAUUUUGAAUAAACUGUACUCCUCCGUUUCUAAAUAUAAGACCUUUUAGAGAUUUCAAUACGGACUACAUACGGAUGUAUAUAGACACAUUUUAUAGUGUAGAUUCACUCAUUUUGCUCCUUAUGUAGUCUAUAUCGAAAUCUCUAAAAGGUCUUAUAUUUAGAAACGGAGGGAGUACAAACUACAAUUUACAAUGGAACAGAGCCAGUAAAAGUAAGAAGUAGAUGAAAGAACUUCACUUCCACCUGUUUAACGGGUAGGACAUAUGCCAAAACAUAAUUAAAACUAUAUGCAACUAGAAUUAGCAACUAUAUGCUAUAUGUACAAAGUGCAUUUACCUUGAGCUGCCUAGCAACAUCCCUCGCUGAUGAACCAGAAACUUCAAUCCACGUCUUUGAGAAGAGAGCGCAAGCUGACAGCAUGAAGACCACAUAGAACAGCGCAUGGAAUGGAUUUGCGACAACAUCAGCCAAACU